Molecule: ribosomal RNA, 433 nt
Filed under: uncultured bacterium
Lineage: Bacteria
Description: partial 16S ribosomal RNA
Rfam family: Bacterial small subunit ribosomal RNA
Source: RNAcentral
AGCGAACGCUGGCGGCAGGCCUAACACAUGCAAGUCGAACGAACCUUUCGGGGUUAGUGGCGGACGGGUGAGUAGCACGUGGGAACGUGCCUUUAGGUUCGGAAUAACUCAGGGAAACUUGUGCUAAUACCGAAUGUGCCCUUCGGGGGAAAGAUUUAUCGCCUUUAGAGCGGCCCGCGUCUGAUUAGCUAGUUGGUUGAGGUAAUGGCUCACCAAGGCGACGAUCAGUAGCUGGUCUGAGAGGAUGAUCAGCCACAUUGGGACUGAGACACGGCCCAAACUCCUACGGGAGGCAGCAGUGGGGAAUCUUGCGCAAUGGGCGAAAGCCUGACGCAGCCAUGCCGCGUGAAUGAUGAAGGUCUUAGGAUUGUAAAAUUCUUUCACCGGGGACGAUAAUGACGGUACCCGGAGAAGAAGCCCCGGCUAACUUCGU